RNAcentral lists this ribosomal RNA (235 nucleotides) under uncultured bacterium. RNAcentral's name for it is "partial 16S ribosomal RNA". It matches the Rfam family "Bacterial small subunit ribosomal RNA", at positions 99 to 334 of the family's 1533-position model. The record is from RNAcentral.
CGGACGGGUGAGUAACGCGUGGGUAACCUGCCUCAUACAGGGGGAUAACGAUUGGAAACGAUUGCUAAUACCGCAUAAGCGCACAGUACCACAUGGUACAGUGUGAAAAACUCCGGUGGUAUGAGAUGGACCCGCGUCUGAUUAGCUAGUUGGUGAGGUAACGGCCCACCAGGGCAACGAUCAGUAGCCGACCUGAGAGGGUGACCGGCCACAUUGGGACUGAGACACGGCCCAG